UGCAGUCGAGCGGAAGAUGGNAGCUUGCUCCCUGAUGUUAGCGGCGGACGGGUGAGUAACACGUGGGUAACCUGCCUGUAAGACUGGGAUAACUCCGGGAAACCGGGGCUAAUACCGGAUGGUUGUUUGAACCGCAUGGUUCAGACAUAAAAGGUGGCUUCGGCUACCACUUACAGAUGGACCCGCGGCGCAUUAGCUAGUUGGUGAGGUAACGGCUCACCAAGGCGACGAUGCGUAGCCGACCUGAGAGGGUGAUCGGCCACACUGGGACUGAGACACGGCCCAGACUCCUACGGGAGGCAGCAGUAGGGAAUCUUCCGCAAUGGACGAAAGUCUGACGGAGCAACGCCGCGUGAGUGAUGAAGGUUUUCGGAUCGUAAAGCUCUGUUGUUAGGGAAGAACAAGUGCCGUUCAAAUAGGGCGGCACCUUGACGGUACCUAACCAGAAAGCCACGGCUAACUACGUGCCAGCAGCCGCGGUAAUACGUAGGUGGCAAGCGUUGUCCGGAAUUAUUGGGCGUAAAGGGCUCGCAGGCGGUUUCUUAAGUCUGAUGUGAAAGCCCCCGGCUCAACCGGGGAGGGUCAUUGGAAACUGGGGAACUUGAGUGCAGAAGAGGAGAGUGGAAUUCCACGUGUAGCGGUGAAAUGCGUAGAGAUGUGGAGGAACACCAGUGGCGAAGGCGACUCUCUGGUCUGUAACUGACGCUGAGGAGCGAAAGCGUGGGGAGCGAACAGGAUUAGAUACCCUGGUAGUCCACGCCGUAAACGAUGAGUGCUAAGUGUUAGGGGGUUUCCGCCCCUUAGUGCUGCAGCUAACGCAUUAAGGACUCCGCCUGGGGAGUACGGUC
This 848-nucleotide ribosomal RNA is filed under the name Bacillus siamensis. RNAcentral's name for it is "bacterial SSU rRNA". It matches the Rfam family "Bacterial small subunit ribosomal RNA", at positions 56 to 887 of the family's 1533-position model. Lineage: Bacteria; Bacillati; Bacillota; Bacilli; Caryophanales; Bacillaceae. The record is from RNAcentral.